This 23-nucleotide ribosomal RNA is filed under the name Fusarium sp. F14-2008. Its description in RNAcentral is "partial 18S ribosomal RNA". Lineage: Eukaryota; Fungi; Ascomycota; Sordariomycetes; Hypocreales; Nectriaceae. RNAcentral also lists the same sequence under 1 other name. The record is from RNAcentral.
CGUUGGUGAACCAGCGGAGGGAU